AGUCCUGUAGCUCAGUGGUUAGGGCACUCGUCUCGUAAGCGAGACCUGGGUUCGAUUCCCAGCAGGACAA
Molecule: non-coding RNA, 70 nt
Organism: Callorhinchus milii (elephant shark)
Lineage: Eukaryota; Metazoa; Chordata; Chondrichthyes; Chimaeriformes; Callorhinchidae
Source: the annotation of a RefSeq genome assembly